RNAcentral lists this ribosomal RNA (280 nucleotides) under uncultured bacterium. RNAcentral's name for it is "partial 16S ribosomal RNA". It matches the Rfam family "Bacterial small subunit ribosomal RNA", at positions 335 to 604 of the family's 1533-position model. The record is from RNAcentral.
ACUCCUACGGGAGGCAGCAGUGGGGAAUAUUGCACAAUGGGGGAAAGCCCAUCGAUCCAGCCAUGCCGCGUGUGUGAAGAAGGCCUUCGGGUUGUAAAGCACUUUCAGUGGGGAGGAAAGGUUGAUGGUUAAUACCUAUCAGCUGUGACGUUACCCACAGAAGAAGCACCGGCUAACUCCGUGCCAGCAGCCGCGGUAAUACGGAGGGUGCAAGCGUUAAUCGGAAUUACUGGGCGUAAAGCGUGCGCAGGCGGUCUGUUAAGCGAGAUGUGAAAGCCCC